GGGCCCGUGUUGUAUAUAGUAACAUAUCGGUGUUGGUACCCGAUGUAGCGGGUGCAAGUCCCGUCGGGUCCACCA
Molecule: transfer RNA, 75 nt
Filed under: Patescibacteria group bacterium
Lineage: Bacteria
Description: tRNA-OTHER
Rfam family: tRNA
About the family: Transfer RNA (tRNA) molecules are approximately 80 nucleotides in length. Their secondary structure includes four short double-helical elements and three loops (D, anti-codon, and T loops). Further hydrogen bonds mediate the characteristic L-shaped molecular structure. tRNAs have two regions of fundamental functional importance: the anti-codon, which is responsible for specific mRNA codon recognition, and the 3' end, to which the tRNAs corresponding amino acid is attached (by aminoacyl-tRNA synthetases). tRNAs cope with the degeneracy of the genetic code in two manners: having more than one tRNA (with a specific anti-codon) for a particular amino acid; and 'wobble' base-pairing, i.e. permitting non-standard base-pairing at the 3rd anti-codon position.
Source: RNAcentral